AGGGACUUCCGGGAAAACCGGAAAUGACACGCACGGGACAGACGGUCUGUGAUCGCUUAAAGCUAAAUCUCGUGAUUAAACAGUUCGAGAAAGAGGGUCUGUUCCAGAAAGCGGGUUCAAAAAAUCUUAAACUUAAACUUGAAACCUGACUUGAGUGAGCCAGAUGGCGCAUAUUCUGAUUUUUCUGUUCUACAACAACGGAUUUCAAUUCAAGUAAUCAAGAUCGAUCAAGCUGGGAUAGGUUAAGCCCAAACGGCUUCAAAACGCUUUUCUCCCAUAGAAAGUCAAUGGAUGACGUCACAGUCACUUUGUCCAUAUUUUUUCUACUGUCUAUGGCGCGUUCAGGGUGAAUUUAAAAAUCAAUCUCAAAUCAGACACUGACAAAAAAAAAAGGAUUCAACAUGGAUAAUGAGAGCGAGAAACAACGCGCUGCAUUUUUCACACCGAUUGAACAAGAGACAAUCAUAGCAGCAUACAACGACUACGUUCAUAUAUUCCAUAAAAAAAGCAAUACAUCAGCUGCAGCAAAGGAACGGGAGCUUGCGUGGAAAACAAUAGCGGAUAGAGUUAAUGCAUGUAACCCUGGAGGCAGUAGAAGAACGUGGCAGCAAGUGAAAGUCAAGUACAAAAACAUAAUUCAAACAGCCAAUAGGAAGAAGGCUGAGGCCCGUAAGACGGGAGGGGUGCCCCCUCCACCACCGUUCUCUCCCGGUGAAGAGCAGGGUCCCUCGCAGAACAGCGGAAGCGGGCCAGUCACGGAUGGCAUUCCAGGGGCUAGUUCAUCUGAGCCAGCUACGCCCCAGGACACAAGCGCCUAUAUAAAGGUGAAUGAUGGAGACUUCCAGUCGGUUGACCAUUGUACAAAAAUAGCAAGUAGCCACAUCCUUCAUACAUUUCACUUAGCAUAGCCAAUGGGUUUAAAGUAUAACAUUUGAAACGUUUUUGUUACAGGAUGAAGAUGAGGAGAUUCUCACAAGGGUAUUCACUGACGGGCCUACGGAGCAAAGCAUGGCUCCUGCUCCUGCACGUUCUCCUCCAGCACGUUCUCCCCCAGCUGUGGAGCCCUCCACCUCCAGACAACAUCUUAGCACAAAGCCUGUGGAGGAGUUGUACAAAGUCCAUUUAGAGAGAAAAAUUGAGAAGUCUGACCUGGAGAUCACUCACUUGAAGCUACAAAUUAGGAAAACGGAGCUUGAGACAGCGAUAUUAGAGCACCAGUUGAAGGAAAUACAGAGGAAAUAAAUGGGGGAGGCGAACCACCAUUUUGGAUUUAUUUUUAUUUUUUUAACAUUGUGCUGGAGAGGCAGGGCACUGCGGCCAACGUUGUGGAGCUGUCAGUUUUAAGUGAUGAUUUGCACCAGAUUCAAACCCCCCGUUGAACGUGCUUUUCACUGGCUCACAAGGAAACUGAGGCCUGAAACCCCCAGCAAAGACACAGCCAUGGAAAGGGCCCAGAGCGGCUCGGAGCAUCAUGGACCUGCUGACGUCCACGGGCCGCAGCCUCGAUGCAGCCAUCAGGUGUAAGGGGCGUGCAACCAAAUAUCCACCCCGCAAGUGGUUAAAUUGAUCAAAACUUACUUUGAUGCAAACAUGAAAUAGUUGGAGACUCGACUCAUUGAAUGGCAUUGUUGUAACAUAGUUCAGUGUAGGUUAAACAAAUCAUGAAGUAAAUUUGUAUAACUGUAUAUACUGUAAUAACUGUAUAUCAAGAGGAAAAAUUGUAAUUACCCUGGGUGAGCAUUUGUAAAAAAAACUAAAAACAA
Molecule: long non-coding RNA, 1763 nt
Organism: Anguilla rostrata (American eel)
Lineage: Eukaryota; Metazoa; Chordata; Actinopteri; Anguilliformes; Anguillidae
Exons: 7
Source: RefSeq, a predicted model, not a curated record